RNAcentral lists this unclassified non-coding RNA (301 nucleotides) under fungal sp. RNAcentral describes it as "partial internal transcribed spacer region". The stretch from base 1 to 46 matches the Rfam family "Eukaryotic small subunit ribosomal RNA", at positions 1786 to 1831 of the family's 1831-position model. The record is from RNAcentral. Lineage: Eukaryota; Fungi.
AAGUCGUAACAAGGUAACCGUAGGUGAACCUGCGGUUGGAUCAUUACCAAUUUUCUUUUUCUUUUCACGUGAAUUCACGGUUUCGUGAUCCGUGAAAAAGAGAAAAAGGAGACUCUUAUGUGAACCUGUAAUUGUACAUUGGCGGUUGUCCAGUGCUUUGUGCUGGACUUGCAUUCAGUUGCAAGGCCGUCAAUUUGUUUUUCUUAAACACAUCUAAAAGUUUACAUUUCUACUAUUUUUUAUUGUUACUUUCACUAAAAGAAACCAAGAACAACUAUUAACAAUGGAUCUCUUGGCUCUC